RNAcentral lists this ribosomal RNA (253 nucleotides) under uncultured bacterium. Its description in RNAcentral is "partial 16S ribosomal RNA". It matches the Rfam family "Bacterial small subunit ribosomal RNA", at positions 524 to 776 of the family's 1533-position model. The record is from RNAcentral.
GACGGAGGAUGCAAGCGUUAUCCGGAAUUAUUGGGCGUAAAGCGUCCGCAGGUGGACAUACAAGUCUGCUGUCAAAGUGCAGAGCUUAACUCUGUAAAGGCGGUGGAAACUGUAGGUCUUGAGUAUGGUAGGGGUAGAGGGAAUUCCCGGUGUAGCGGUGAAAUGCGUAGAUAUCGGGAAGAACACCAGUGGCGAAAGCGCUCUACUGGGUCAUAACUGACACUGAGGGACGAAAGCUAGGGGAGCGAAAGGG